CAUUACCGAGUGAGGACCUAACCGGUCCAACCUCCCACCCGUGUCUAUCGUACCUUGUUGCUUCGGCGGGCCCGCCAUUCGUGGCCGCCGGGGGGCAUUUCGCCCCCGGGCCCGCGCCCGCCGGAGACACCAACACGAACACUGUCUGAAGGUUGCAGUCUGAGUCGAUUUAUUUAAUCGUUAAAACUUUCAACAACGGAUCUCUUGGUUCCGGCAUCGAUGAAGAACGCAGCGAAAUGCGAUAAUUAAUGUGAAUUGCAGAAUUCAGUGAAUCAUCGAGUCUUUGAACGCACAUUGCGCCCCCUGGUAUUCCGGGGGGCAUGCCUGUCCGAGCGUCAUUGCUGCCCUCAAGCACGGCUUGUGUGUUGGGUCGCCGUCCCCUUCCCGGGGGACGGGCCCGAAAGGCAGCGGCGGCACCGCGUCCGGUCCUCGAGCGUAUGGGGCUUUGUCACCCGCUCUGUAGGCCCGGCCGGCGCCUGCCGACCACCAACCUUUUUUUAACCAGGUUGACCUCGGAUCAGGUAGGGAUACCCGCUGAACUUAAGCAUAUCAAUAAGCGGAGGAAAAGAAACCAACCGGGAUUGCCUCAGUAACGGCGAGUGAAGCGGCAAAAGCUCAAAUUUGAAAUCUGGCUCCUUCGGGGUCCGAGUUGUAAUUUGCAGAGGAUGCUUCGGUUGCGGCCCCCAUCUAAGU
Molecule: small RNA, 693 nt
Filed under: Aspergillus europaeus
Lineage: Eukaryota; Fungi; Ascomycota; Eurotiomycetes; Eurotiales; Aspergillaceae
Description: eukaryotic LSU rRNA
Rfam family: 5.8S ribosomal RNA (bases 185-338)
Source: RNAcentral